This 348-nucleotide ribosomal RNA is filed under the name uncultured bacterium. Its description in RNAcentral is "bacterial SSU rRNA". It matches the Rfam family "Bacterial small subunit ribosomal RNA", at positions 8 to 334 of the family's 1533-position model. The record is from RNAcentral.
AGGGUUUGAUUAUGGCUCAGGACGAACGCUGGCGGCGUGCUUAACACAUGCAAGUCGAACGAGAAGAGAUGAGAAGCUUGCUUCUUAUCGAUUCGAGUGGCAAACGGGUGAGUAACGCGUAAGCAACCUGCCCUCUAGAUGGGGACAACAGCUGGAAACGGCUGCUAAUACCGAAUACGUUCUUUCUGUCGCAUGGCAGAGGGAAGAAAGGGAGGCUCUUCGGAGCUUUCGCUGGAGGAGGGGCUUGCGUCUGAUUAGCUAGUUGGAGGGGUAACGGCCCACCAAGGCGACGAUCAGUAGCCGGUCUGAGAGGAUGAACGGCCACAUUGGGACUGAGACACGGCCCAG